AGUCCGCCAGCCCACAGUAAAGAUGGCGCCGCCAGGACCGGAACGACCACACUAAAGAUGGCGGCGAGAGCGCCCCCCCCCCCCCCCCCCCCCCCCCCCCCCCCUCGCUUCAGAGAGGCGUUUAUCCUGUUGCCUGACCUCCGCCGCCACCCGGACCCCCGCCCCGCGCCCGCAGCGCCGUCUCCCCGCGCCGCUUCCCGCUGUGGGGACAGGGCGGGGCGCUCCGCGGCGCCGGGCGCAGGCGGCAGGUUCGUGGGCGGCGGCAGGCACCGGCGCGCGCAGCCCCCGUCUCGGCACCGCCCCCCGCCCCGCUCCCGCUCCCGCUCCCGCUCCCGCUCCCGCCCCCGCCCCGCUCGGUCCCGCCGUGGCCUGGAGAUGCUGUCGGGGUUGCGCCGCCGCCUUCCCCCCCUGGAAGCGACCCACGGCGGCAGAUGCGACGGAGAUCGUCCCCGGGGUGACGAAGCUUAUGGAAAAAAAGACCAAAGGCCUCGAGGGAUGUUCUUCUUGAUCCCCCGGGGCAAACGGAGGUGUCAGCGUCAGGAGCCAUCCUAACUGAGGCCCUGGCUCCCUCUUUCCCUUCGGUCGCCGUGGGUGUGCCGGCCGCCUCUGGCAGGACUAACCCUGUGGCUUUUAUGUCCAACGUGCUGUGCUCUGCUGUGCUGUGUGUGUGCCUGCAGAAUUGCCACGAGAGGAAAUACUUCAGAGGGGCUUCCCUCCAGAUAAGCCCUGAAUGUGCCAGGAGGUUUCAGCCGGGAGAAAGGAGCUGUGGAAGAAAAGCAGCCUAAAAAUAGCCAGUGGGGAUCAUCAGGUUUUCCAGGCAAGAAGAACAAGGAGAGAGAUGAGGGAAUCGGGUUCCAAUUCCUAAUGAUUUGGUGGGUGCAGGAAUGAUUUGUGUGUGUUUUCCAGUCCCUUUUGAUUCCUGAGAUGAUUUUAAAAUGAUGGCUUUAGCAAUCAACUAAAUCGGAGGUGUUGUUUUUGAGAGGAAAUGAUGCCAAAUAAAUGCAGAGUUUUGGGUCA
Molecule: RNA transcript, 1017 nt
Organism: Pseudopipra pipra
Lineage: Eukaryota; Metazoa; Chordata; Aves; Passeriformes; Pipridae
Exons: 6
Source: RefSeq, a predicted model, not a curated record